RNAcentral lists this ribosomal RNA (484 nucleotides) under uncultured bacterium. Its description in RNAcentral is "partial 16S ribosomal RNA". It matches the Rfam family "Bacterial small subunit ribosomal RNA", at positions 30 to 507 of the family's 1533-position model. The record is from RNAcentral.
AUUGAACGCUGGCGGAAUGCUUUACACAUGCAAGUCGAACGGCAGCACGGGGGCAACCCUGGUGGCGAGUGGCGAACGGGUGAGUAAUACAUCGGAACGUGCCCGGUCGUGGGGGAUAACGUAGCGAAAGUUACGCUAAUACCGCAUACGAUCUGAGGAUGAAAGCGGGGGACCUUCGGGCCUCGCGCGAUCAGAGCGGCCGAUGUCAGAUUAGGUAGUUGGUGGGGUAAAGGCCUACCAAGCCGACGAUCUGUAGCUGGUCUGAGAGGACGACCAGCCACACUGGGACUGAGACACGGCCCAGACUCCUACGGGAGGCAGCAGUGGGGAAUUUUGGACAAUGGGCGCAAGCCUGAUCCAGCCAUUCCGCGUGCAGGACGAAGGCCUUCGGGUUGUAAACUGCUUUUGUAUGGAACGAAAAGGCUCUGGCUAAUACCUGGGGCUCAUGACGGUACCGUAAGAAUAAGCACCGGCUAACUACGUG